This 439-nucleotide ribosomal RNA is filed under the name uncultured bacterium. Its description in RNAcentral is "partial 16S ribosomal RNA". It matches the Rfam family "Bacterial small subunit ribosomal RNA", at positions 339 to 795 of the family's 1533-position model. The record is from RNAcentral.
CUACGGGUUGCUGCAGUGGGGAAUAUUGCACAAUGGGGGAAACCCUGAUGCAGCAACGCCGCGUGGAGGAUGACACAUUUCGGUGCGUGAACUCCUUUUAUAGGUCAAGAUAAUGACGGUAGCCUAUGAAUAAGCGCCGGCUAACUCCGUGCCAGCAGCCGCGGUAAUACGGAGGGCGCAAGCGUUACUCGGAAUCACUGGGCGUAAAGAGCAUGUAGGCGGGUUAAUAAGUCAGAAGUGAAAUCCAAUAGCUCAACUAUUGAACUGCUUUUGAAACUGUUAACCUAGAGUGUGGGAGAGGUAGAUGGAAUUUCUGGUGUAGGGGUAAAAUCCGUAGAGAUCAGAAGGAAUACCGAUUGCGAAGGCGAUCUACUGGAACAUUACUGACGCUGAGAUGCGAAAGCGUGGGGAGCAAACAGGAUUAGAUACCCCCGUAGUC